RNAcentral lists this long non-coding RNA (1458 nucleotides) under Equus asinus (donkey). RNAcentral describes it as "lncRNA (ENSEASG00005030097.1)". The record is from RNAcentral. Lineage: Eukaryota; Metazoa; Chordata; Mammalia; Perissodactyla; Equidae.
CUCAACUCAGGAAGCCUUUCCAAUACUCUGGGUCUGGAUCAGAUGCUUUCUAAGUGUGCAGCAGUGCCCUCCUCUGCAGCCUGGCUUCCUGUGCUGACCUUCCCCUAUUAGAGGUCCUUUGCAGCCAGCAUGAUAACGUAUUUAUAACACGUGGAGGAGAGAGAGCUCACCAUGCUCAGGUGCCAGUCAUCGUGAAGAAAUUUUGAAUAACCUGCGUUUUCCACACCCUUUGUCUCUGCGGCGAAUCUGUGUAGAUAUCUGUGCAGUGAAUCCUGAGGGAGAAAGUCCCCCACUAUGAUACAGUCUGUUUGUAGGAAACCAGUGCUUUCUCUUUACUGAGAAUUCAAGCAUGGCACGUGUUGAAUGGCACAGAUGCCCUGACUGGGAUUGGCGUUGAAAUAAGCAGGGAUAGAUUCCAGGGGGAUUACAGCUGAAAGCUGUGGUGGAUCAGCUUUGCCCUUGUGAAUCGCCGUUGCCACAAUGAAACACAUAGCAACUGAUUUCACUGCACGGAACAGAUCUUACUUCUGCCUCUGGAGAGUGCCCACUGGAGACCUGUGUCUCAAAAGGCAGGUUACAGUGAAAUCAAAGCUUUCAAGAAGAAAACCGAGGUCUGUAAGCCAAAGCAGAAGGGAUGCAGGAGAAGAGAAAACAGGAAAUAACUGGUCAAUUGAUUAAUGAAGCUGUCCUAGUGACAGAAAUGGCCAGAGGAGUCUCUGACUUUCUUCCAAAGGCACCCUGACAUGUUUGCUGAGGACAACUCUUCAUUGUCAAAAGCUGAAAUUUUAAUGGGUGUUCUUAACAUAAGUCAUUCUCCAUGGACAGUGUGCUAUGUGCUGGCUGCUGUGGAAGGCUUCAUGCAUAUCAGGAAAGGGGAAACAUGGUUUGUGCACCAUCCUUUUGAGGCAAAGCAUUUAUCUGACACCUUUGAUCAAAAUAUUGUGGCUGGAGCUAUAUACUAUCCAACUUAACUCAAGUUUAUAAUUAGUAGUUUCAACUGUCAAAGAAUUGAAAAAAGAGAGUUAUUCUAUCACAAAGAAAGAUCCAUCACCUAGGGAUGUUUUUAAUAUUGUGUUUUGAAAGUAUGACAGAUCAGCAUUUUUAUGGUAGUGGAGCGUUUUCUGUGCUUUUUAGAGACCCAAAGUAAACACUUUUAAAUGUCAGAAAGCUCUAAAAUCCAAACAGGCUGUAGUCUCUUUAGAGAGCAGACCGGCUAGAUUUCACAAAUUGAAAGAUCCUGCCAUAAAAUUUAUUGUAAACAAGAAGCCUGGAAAAGGCAUGUAUGCAGUUCAAUAAAUAUCAAGCUCUGGAUUUCUAGCUUUUAAACUCAAAAGAUGUUUGAAGUUGCAUAAUCAUAGCCUAACUCAUGUUAUCAUGAUUUACAAUCUACUUAAUAAAUUCUGUUUCUCUUCCUUGCAGCUCUGAUUGUGGGAAGGGAGCAGAGUAGAUGUGUAGGUU